GAUGUUUCUGUGGUGUAGUGGUUAUCACGUUUGCUUUACACGCAAAAGGUCUCCGGUUCGAUCCCGGGCAGGAACAUUUAAUUGUUUUUAUAUUUUUGCUGUUAUUAAAAGCUAAUGCACCAAAAUGUUUUCAUCAGCUAAUAAUAAACAUAGGAUGUUUCUGUGGUGUAGUGGUUAUCACGUUUGCUUUACACGCAAAAGGUCUCCGGUUCGAUCCCGGGCAGGAACAA
RNAcentral lists this transfer RNA (230 nucleotides) under Helianthus annuus (common sunflower). RNAcentral describes it as "hypothetical non coding rna". The stretch from base 4 to 76 matches the Rfam family "tRNA". The record is from RNAcentral. Lineage: Eukaryota; Viridiplantae; Streptophyta; Magnoliopsida; Asterales; Asteraceae.